This 468-nucleotide ribosomal RNA is filed under the name uncultured bacterium. Its description in RNAcentral is "partial 16S ribosomal RNA". It matches the Rfam family "Bacterial small subunit ribosomal RNA", at positions 28 to 507 of the family's 1533-position model. The record is from RNAcentral.
GACGAACGCUGGCGGCGUGCUUAACACAUGCAAGUCGAACGGAAAGGCCCUGCUUUUGUGGGGUGCUCGAGUGGCGAACGGGUGAGUAACACGUGAGUAACCUGCCCUUGACUUUGGGAUAACUUCAGGAAACUGGGGCUAAUACCGGAUAGGAGCUCCUGCUGCAUGGUGGGGGUUGGAAAGUUUCGGCGGUUGGGGAUGGACUCGCGGCUUAUCAGCUUGUUGGUGGGGUAGUGGCUUACCAAGGCUUUGACGGGUAGCCGGCCUGAGAGGGUGACAGGCCACAUGGGGACUGAGAGACGGCCCAGACGCCUACGGGAGGCAGCAGUGGGGAAUAUUGCGGAAUGGGGGGAAGCCUGAUGCAGCAACGCCGCGUGCGGGAUGACGGCCUUCGGGUUGUAAACCGCUUUCGCCGGUGACGAAGCGCGAGUGACGGUAAUGGGUAAAGAAGCACCGGCUAACUACGUG